GGGGACCACAGCGGGUCACCGACCGAGGGCAGGGUGGGCGGAGAGGGGCGGCUGACACCCAGGAGGCGGAGUUGGGGUGCGGGACCGCAGAGGUGCUGGAUCGAGCUUGGAUGGAGUCUCGCUCUGUUGCCCAGGCUGGAGCACAGUGGCACGAUCUUGGAUCACUGCAAGCUCCACCUCCCGGGCCUCAGUCUGCAGAGACACAGAAGCAAAUGAUUGUAUGAAGCUCCUGACUGUAUGAAGUUCUCAGUCAAACAAAAUAGUACCUCUUCUGCCCAUCUCAGAGGUGGAUAAGGAUAAAGUGAAAUAAUGGAAAGCACAAGGAACAGUAAAAGGCAAAUGUCAAGAAGCUGUUUGCAAAGUUACCAAGAUGUAAAAUUAGAUUUUACUUAUUAAUAAUCAUGUCACUUGUCAUUCUGUUUAUAAUGGUCAAUUCACUGCUGAUAUUCAAGUGGACCGUUUAAACUGUAUUUUUGCUCAGCUAUCCCUCCAAAUAAAUAUCUCAAAAUCUUGACUGUUUAUUUUCUUAGCCCAUCUUAUUUUCCCAGGCCUCAAAGCGUGGCUUCUCAAAUCCCUGGCUUGUCUUCUGAUUCUGGCCAGUCUAGGUGGGGUCUGGCUUCAGUUUGUACAGAUUCUCACUCCCAAUCUCAUAUUGGUCAAACAAACCCAGAAGUAAGAUCUACACGUAUUAAUCAACCAUUCUCAGACCAGGAUUGGAAUAAUUUGAAAAAGUGAACUCUGGCUGGGUGCCGUGUUCACACCUGUAAUCCCAGCACUUUGGGAGGCUGAGGCGGGUGAAUCACGAGGUCAGGAGAUUGAGACCAUCCUGGCCAUCAUGGUGAAAUCCAUCUCUACUAAAAUUACAAAAAUUAGCUGGGUGUGGUGGCGCGUGCCUGUGAUCCCAGCUACUCGGGAGGCUGAGGCAGGAGAAUCGCUUGAACCAGGGAGACGGAGGUUGCAGUGAGCUG
This 968-nucleotide long non-coding RNA is filed under the name Homo sapiens (human). RNAcentral describes it as "HSALNT0295996". Lineage: Eukaryota; Metazoa; Chordata; Mammalia; Primates; Hominidae. The record is from RNAcentral.